UACAGAGGGUGCGAGCGUUAAUCGGAAUUACUGGGCGUAAAGCGCGCGUAGGCGGCUUUGCAAGUCGGGUGUGAAAUCCCCAGGCUUAACCUGGGAACUGCAUUCGAGACUGCAUUGCUAGAGUAUGGGAGAGGGAAGUGGAAUUUCCGGUGUAGCGGUGAAAUGCGCAGAUAUCAGGAGGAACACCAAUGGCGAAGGCAGCUCGCUGGAACGGUACUGACGCUGAGGCGCGAAAGCGUGGGGAGCAAACAGG
RNAcentral lists this ribosomal RNA (253 nucleotides) under uncultured bacterium. RNAcentral's name for it is "partial 16S ribosomal RNA". It matches the Rfam family "Bacterial small subunit ribosomal RNA", at positions 524 to 776 of the family's 1533-position model. The record is from RNAcentral.